AACGAACGCUGGCGGCAGGCCUAAUACAUGCAAGUCGAACGGGCGUAGCAAUACGUCAGUGGCGGACGGGUGAGUAACACGUGGGAACAUGCCUUUCGGUUCGGAAUAACGCAGGGAAACUUGCGCUAAUACCGGAUGACCCGGCGACGGAAAAGAUUUAUCGCCGAAAGAUUGGCCCGCGUAGGAUUAGCUAGUUGGUGAGGUAACGGCCCACCAAGGCGACGAUCCUUAGCUGGUUUGAGAGAACGAUCAGCCACACUGGGACUGAGACACGGCCCAGACUCCUACGGGAGGCAGCAGUAGGGAAUCUUGGACAAUGGGGGAAACCCUGAUCCAGCCAUGCCGCGUGAGUGAUGAAGGCCUUCGGUUGUAAACUACUUUCGUCGCGCCGGCGAUAAUGACGGUAGCGCGAGAAGAAGACUCCGGCUAAC
This 431-nucleotide ribosomal RNA is filed under the name uncultured bacterium. Its description in RNAcentral is "bacterial SSU rRNA". It matches the Rfam family "Bacterial small subunit ribosomal RNA", at positions 29 to 501 of the family's 1533-position model. The record is from RNAcentral.